UACCAGCACCCCGAGUGGUCGGGACGAUUAUUGGGCCUAAAGCAUCCGUAGCCGGUUCUGCAAGUCCCCCGUUAAAUCCAGCUGCUCAACAGAUGGGCCGCGGAGGAUACUACAGAGCUAGGAGGCAGGAGAGGCAAGCGGUACUCAGUGGGUAGGGGUAAAAUCCGUUGAUCCAUUGAAGACCACCAGUGGCGAAGGCGGCUUGCCAGAAUGCGCUCGACGGUGAGGGAUGAAAGCUGGGGGAGCAAACCGGG
Molecule: ribosomal RNA, 254 nt
Filed under: uncultured bacterium
Lineage: Bacteria
Description: partial 16S ribosomal RNA
Rfam family: Archaeal small subunit ribosomal RNA
Source: RNAcentral